This 902-nucleotide long non-coding RNA is filed under the name Bos indicus x Bos taurus (hybrid cattle). Its description in RNAcentral is "lncRNA (ENSBIXG00005015370.1)". The record is from RNAcentral. Lineage: Eukaryota; Metazoa; Chordata; Mammalia; Artiodactyla; Bovidae.
AUUUUUGAAAUAUUUUCCAUUUUGAAAUUGGAAAGCUUAUACUGCAGACCCAGGCAUUUCUGCUCUGUUCCCCCUGUCCCAGAGAUGUCAUCAUGUCUUCAUUCAAACACUGCACUGCCCAGCAGAGAAGCGCCUCACAAAGAAACAUAAAAGACAAGUACCAGGGAAAGACAUGAUUCUGUGGAAUAAAAAGAUGAAAACCAGCCAUGACCACAUGAAAAUAAAAGAAGAUAAAGAUCAUUUCUUGAACAAUACCUUCACAUCACCAGAGCUGGGGAAAGUGGAAAGAGACAGAAAACUGUGAUAAGAAAUGAGAUUUUCUGUGCCUGAAAAAGUCCCGUUCUGCUUUACUGAAGGAAAAAGAGGAAAAGUUGAGGAAGAUGGCAGCAUGAAUCAAAGACAUGGACUAAUAACUUGUAAUGAGAGACGGAUAAAUGUGGAACCCCCAGGCAUGUCUCUGCUCAGCGUUCCCAUCAGGUGCAGUGGCCUGUUAUGGAUAAAGAAGGAGAGGGCUGGGCCAGAUGAUCGCGUGCCCUUCCCCAAGGUCCCACCAGGCAGACAGUGCCGGAGGUUCGGCCACCCAGCCCCUCACCCACAGCUGGUCGGACUAGAGGAGGAAGUGACUCACGAAGAGCAGGUUUGCUCUAAGAACAGAAGGAGCAAGUGUUGCAAGAAGAGGAGGGAUUUUGGAGCCGACGCUUUGAUGAUAAAAUUGGAUUGAAAGAGAGGCCACUGAUGGUUGAAGGUAAGAGUGACUAUUUAUAACCAAAACCUCUGGAUCUGUGAAUUGGGAUGGUGUCUUUUCAUAGAGACAGUUGUCACUCUGGUAUGAUUAUAAUAUGGAUCUUUGACUGUUGUUCAUUCGCUGAUAAUGUAUUCAUUCUAUGCUGAGCCAAGCUCCA